GAUGAACGCUGGCGGCGUGCCUAAUACAUGCAAGUCGAGCGAACAGACGAGGAGCUUGCUCCUCUGACGUUAGCGGCGGACGGGUGAGUAACACGUGGAUAACCUACCUAUAAGACUGGGAUAACUUCGGGAAACCGGAGCUAAUACCGGAUAAUAUAUUAAACCGCAUGGUCCAAUAGUGAAAGACGGUUUUGCUGUCACUUAUAGAUGGAUCCGCGCCGCAUUAGCUAGUUGGUAAGGUAACGGCUUACCAAGGCAACGAUGCGUAGCCGACCUGAGAGGGUGAUCGGCCACACUGGAACUGAGACACGGUCCAGACUCCUACGGGAGGCAGCAGUAGGGAAUCUUCCGCAAUGGGCGAAAGCCUGACGGAGCAACGCCGCGUGAGUGAUGAAGGUCUUCGGAUUGUAAAACUCUGUUAUUAGGGAAGAACAAAUGUGUAAGUAACUAUGCACGUCUUGACGGUACCUAAUCAGAAAGCCACGGCUAACUACGUG
This 497-nucleotide ribosomal RNA is filed under the name uncultured bacterium. Its description in RNAcentral is "partial 16S ribosomal RNA". It matches the Rfam family "Bacterial small subunit ribosomal RNA", at positions 28 to 507 of the family's 1533-position model. The record is from RNAcentral.